AGGUCAUUUCAAAGAGAUCUUAUGGGACAAAAACCAGGAGCUCUUAAUGCUGUGACCUAAUCUAAUUAAAGUUCUCCAUAGGAUGUAAUAGAUACUCGAUAGUGCUAUGUUUCCCUGAGGAGAUAUAAAU
Molecule: small nucleolar RNA, 130 nt
Organism: Pteronotus mesoamericanus
Lineage: Eukaryota; Metazoa; Chordata; Mammalia; Chiroptera; Mormoopidae
Product: small nucleolar RNA SNORA25
Exons: 1
Source: RefSeq, a predicted model, not a curated record